Molecule: ribosomal RNA, 468 nt
Filed under: uncultured bacterium
Lineage: Bacteria
Description: partial 16S ribosomal RNA
Rfam family: Bacterial small subunit ribosomal RNA
Source: RNAcentral
GACGAACGCUGGCGGCGUGCCUAACACAUGCAAGUCGAACGGAAAGGCCCUGCUUUUGUGGGGUGCUCGAGUGGCGAACGGGUGAGUAACACGUGAGUAACCUGCCCUUGUCUUUGGGAUAACUUCAGGAAACUGGGGAUAAUACCGGAUAGGAGCUCCUGCUGCAUGGUGGGGGUUGGAAAGUUUCGGCGGUUGGGGCUGGUUUCGCGGCUUAUCGGCUAGUUGGUGGGGUAGUGGAUUACAAAGGGUUUGACGGGUAGCCGACCUGAGAGGGUGACCGGGGACAUGGGGACUAAGGUAGGGACCAGACUCGAACGGGAGGCAACAGGCGGGAGUAUUACACAACGGGGGGGAGCGAGUGAUGGCGGCCCCCGGUGCGGAAAACCGGCCUACUGGGGAUAAACAACUUUGUCAGGUAACGUGGCGUGAGUGACGGUAAUUGGUAAAAAAGCCCCGGCUAACUACGUG